UAGAGGUUAACCGUGAUCACGAAGGCGGUUCCUCCGGAGUGAGGCUUGGCCAUUGCACCUCGGCUGAGUUGACCUCUGCGAUUAUUCCUAAUGUGAAUAACUCGUGCGUGUAAUUUUUGGUAGCCGGGAAUGGCGUUCGCGCCGUCCCGACAUUGAUAAUACAUACGAAUUCCAAUUUAAUAAUAUCUUCUAUUGCAUGUAAGCUGGCAGAUACGAUUAUGCUCUCUUAUUUCCCUUAUGAAUUCGUGUAAAUAUUUACCACAACCUGAAAGUCAGUCAAUCAUUUGUCCAUCCAUCUCAGUUAUUCGCUAGCGAGAUUACUACCUCGCAAAUCAGAUACAGAAUGCAAUGCACUGGUUGCCUGUGGUUACACGGACUGGAAACCCACCCCCAAGGGCACUUGUCAAGCGGAUUGGAGAUGGGAUAUAACCAGGGGGCGAGACGGCCGGGCGCAACCCUUUCUGAUUUGAUGGUUAUAUGCAGAUUCGGAUUUUGGGCAGGAGCCCGAGGCAAAGGGGAUGUCCUGCUAAGUAUCCUUGGCAACCCGUUAAUUUAUAGGGCUUAUGUGUCUGCGAUCCUUUCCUCUGCUAGCUGGGCAUUAGUGGAUUAAAAGCGUUUAUUGUCUUCGAUGUCCUUGGGACGGUACACUAGGACGACUCUUUCG
This is a long non-coding RNA of Drosophila sechellia, 664 nucleotides long. RefSeq lists it as uncharacterized. The transcript is spliced from 2 exons. Lineage: Eukaryota; Metazoa; Arthropoda; Insecta; Diptera; Drosophilidae. The record is from RefSeq and is a predicted model, not a curated record.